This 2174-nucleotide ribosomal RNA is filed under the name human oral metagenome. RNAcentral's name for it is "bacterial LSU rRNA". It matches the Rfam family "Bacterial large subunit ribosomal RNA", at positions 196 to 2016 of the family's 2925-position model. The record is from RNAcentral.
AAUCAUCUUAGUAGGUUGAGGAAAAGAGAAUAAACAAUGAUUCCGAAAGUAGUGGCGAGCGAAAUUGGAACAGCCCAAACCUUAACAUAACCAUACGGUUUAACGGCCAGAGUUAUGAAAGGGGUUGAGAAAUUAGAUAAUUUUUAUGUAUAGCAGUUGAAUAAAAUCGAAGCCUACUCACUUUUAAGGACUAUCAGCUUGGGCAAACGCCCUUGAGUGCGUCCGAAAAAGUGAGUAGGCGACGAUUCGACAGUUAUACAUAAAAACCAACAUCGUUAAAUGAGUGGAUAAUGAUAAAAUCCUUUAGAUCAUAGCAGAAGUGUUUGAAUGGCACACCAAAGAAGGUGAGAGUCCUGUACGCGAAAUGGUCUUAGGCAUUAUAUAUCUUUUUUCAAGUAGGACGGGGCACGAGAAACCCUGUUUGAAUCCGGCAGGACCACCUGCCAAGGCUAAAUAUAUUGAUUGAUCGAUAGCGAACUAGUACAGUGAUGGAAAGGUGAAAAGAACCCCGGGAGGGGAGUGAAAUAGAACCUGAAACUUAGUGCCUACAAGGUGUCGGAGCAGCUUCGGCUGUGACGGCGUGCUUUUUGUAGAACGAUCCAGCGAGUUAAUGUUGUCGGCGAGGCUAAGUCAGAUGAUGGAGCCACAGUGAAAGCGAGCCUUAACAGGGCGACAAGUCGGCAGUAUUAGACCCGAAACCGGGUGACCUAACCAUGAGCAGGUUGAAGCUGCGGUAACACGCAGUGGAGGACCGAACCAGGGCACGCAGUAAAGUGCUUGGAUGACUUGUGGUUAGCGGUGAAAUGCCAAUCGAACUCGGAGAUAGCUGGUUCUCCUCGAAAUAGCUUUAGGGCUAGCGUUGUGUUAGUAAUCAUCAGGGGUAGAGCUCUGAAAAGGUUCGGGGCCGGCAACGGUACCCACCCUUAUCAAACUACGAAUACUGGUGGUGUAACCACAGCAGUCAGAACGGCGGGGCUAAGCUCGUCGCUCAAAAGGGAAACAGCCCAGAUCAUCGUCUAAGGUCCCCAAUUAACACUAAGUGGGAAACAAAGUGAAAUUUCUUAAACAGCUAGGAUGUUGGCUUAGAAGCAGCCAUUCAUUUAAAGAGUGCGUAACAGCUCACUAGUCAAGAGAUUUUGCGUGGAAAAUGUAACGGGGCUAAAGUGUUAAACCGAAGACAUGGACUUCUGCUUAUGCAGGAGUGGUAGAGGAGCGUUGAUAUCGCAGUGAAGUCAGAUUGUAAAGUCUGGUGGAGCGUUAUCAAGUGAGAAUGCUGGAAUCAGUAACCUUAAGACAGGUGAGAAUCCUGUCGGUCGUAAGAGCAAGGUUUCCAGGGCUACAGUAAUUGUCCCUGGGUUAGUCGGUCCUAAGCCGAGGCGUAUCAGCGUAGGCGAUGGACAACAGGUUAAUAUUCCUGUACAGGUAGUAGUUGUGAACAGUUCACGGUGAAUGACCGGAGCGGAUUAAUGGUUUAUCCGUCCAAGUCUCUAGGGAACUAGAGAUGAGUGAAAGGUAAUCUUCGGAUUAUUAAUUCCGGGUGAAGCACUGGCUAGAAAAGCUGGUUCACUUAUGCUGCUGCCUACCGUACCGCAAACCAACACCGGUGCUCGGGUCGAGUAGACCAAGACCUACGUGAGAACCUUCGCUAAGGAACUCGGCAAAAAAGCGUCCGUAACUUCGGAAUAAGGACUGCCCUCUCAUUAAGAUGAGGAUUUGCUAGAAACUCAGCAGAAGAUUCAGAUUAUGUUACAUAUUUACUAAAAAUUUGUUAUUUUUCGAGACCAUAAGCUCGGCCGAACGGCCUUGAGUGUGUCGAGAAAAACAACAAAUUUUAGUUAUUUACCUUUAACUGAAUUUUUUCGUUGAGACAGAACACAAAUCAGGAUUUGUUUUAACAAAUUCGUGUCUUUUCUAGUAGUCUAAUCGUCAUUUUGAUGAGAGGGCCGCAGCUAAAGAGCCCACGGAACUGUUUACCAAAAACAUAGGUCUCUGCUAACGCGAAAGCGGAUGUAUAGGGGCUGACUCCUGCCCGGUGUCGGAAGGUUAAGGGGAGAGCUUUACGGUUCGAACUGAAGCCCCGAUGAACGGCGGCGAUAACUAUGAUCGUCCUAAGGUAGCGAAAUUCCUUGUCGGGUAAGUUCUGACCCGCACGAAUGGAGUAAUCAUGUGGGCAC